GCGGAUAUAGCUCAGUUGGUUAGAGCACUGGAUUGUGGUUCCAGGUGUCGUCGGUUCGAGUCCGAUUAUCCGUCCCA
This 77-nucleotide transfer RNA is filed under the name Oscillospiraceae bacterium. RNAcentral describes it as "tRNA-His". It matches the Rfam family "tRNA". Rfam says of the family: Transfer RNA (tRNA) molecules are approximately 80 nucleotides in length. Their secondary structure includes four short double-helical elements and three loops (D, anti-codon, and T loops). Lineage: Bacteria; Bacillati; Bacillota; Clostridia; Eubacteriales; Oscillospiraceae. The record is from RNAcentral.